RNAcentral lists this non-coding RNA (100 nucleotides) under Staphylococcus pettenkoferi. RNAcentral's name for it is "SAM-I sequence". It matches the Rfam family "SAM riboswitch aptamer (S box leader)". Rfam says of the family: The SAM riboswitch is found upstream of a number of genes which code for proteins involved in methionine or cysteine biosynthesis in Gram-positive bacteria. Lineage: Bacteria; Bacillati; Bacillota; Bacilli; Caryophanales; Staphylococcaceae. The record is from RNAcentral.
AGCUUAUCAAGAGAAGUGGAGGGACUGGCCCGACGAAGCUUCGGCAACAUGGUCACGCGUGUGCCAAUUCCAGUAGCAAUGAUUUGCUUGAAGAUAAGGU